RNAcentral lists this long non-coding RNA (680 nucleotides) under Drosophila guanche. Lineage: Eukaryota; Metazoa; Arthropoda; Insecta; Diptera; Drosophilidae. The record is from RNAcentral.
GUUCACUUAUCGCAGAGUAAAUAUUAUUUUUUCCGGCACGAAUACAUUCAAUUAUAGACUUUAAUGGGAAUUAUUAUCAUGCCCAAGCCUCAGCUAAAGUUAAAUGUUGAUUUUAGUUCCUUCAAUGGGUAUCCGUGAGUAUUCCCUGAGUAUUCUUUUGUUUGGACCAAACCAGGCUGUGGUAUUCUUUCCCGAAAAUUGAUUUUCCAUGCCUUGCAUGUGCAAUGCAAUUUUCUGGAAAUUGUGGCAUAUGCCAUAGGCCCCUCUCCCCUGUGUGUGCUGUAAUUAACCUAACUGUUAUUUGAAGCCGCUCUCAAUAUUGAUUUUCUAUUUCCAUUUAGCAUUUCCCACAUGUGCGCCAGCACCACCGCAGAAACACAUCAAAGAGCCCCCUAACUCUCCCCCCAAUGGCAAUUACAACAUGUGGCAUGUUGUCGGUGGGCUGUUUGUUUGGCAUGGAUGGGGAACGAACUGCCACACGCAGUUAGGGGCUCACCCUAACGAAAAACGAUAUCGAUUUCCAAGCCCAAGAAUUAUUAUACUCCAUAUAAAUAAAUAAACAAUCGAACCUCGUCCGUCGUCGAGGCAAUUGCUUGGACCAUUUGUUGCAUACAAAAUUGAUCAACAAUUGAAUCAAUUUUUGUGAAUUAAGAGAAUAUUUACUCUUCCCUUCAUUCGAU